GCUUCCCGCCAUUGGUUAGGCCGGAGGCGGGUUUAUUCAAGUCAACUCGUGCGCCGAGCGCUCCGUUUCCGGUGAGCGGUGAAACGUUUGCCAUUGUUAACGUGGAGCUAAGCUAGCCGGGCGCUCGACGGCGAGCGGCCGCCAGAACGCGCCGACUGUGGCAGUCCUCUCCGCUGUCGCAAGAAGAGAUGAGUCGCCACGAGGCCCCGAGGAGCUGACGGGUGUAACGGGGGAAAUUGUAGGCAUCAGUAUGGCCAGCUGCAAGCCGAACUCCGGGCUUGUCGCCUGUCCCGCGGGCGAGCCCCCCCCCCCAUUGCUGCCGGGCCCGGCAACACUGGCGUCAUGACCGCACGGGCUGCUGAAGAUCAACGCCCGACGUCGCAUCACCGGCACGUCCGGGCGGAGGACGGCGGCGGGCGUUUGGAGCCGCAGGCGUGGGCUUUCCCGAGUGGCCCUCUUCCCCGGCGGAGCUUCGCUGGGAUCUCGUCGCCGUGGGGGGUGAGAAAGCGUGUGUGUGCGCUCAGGUCAUCGAUGGCGGAGGUGUGUUCAUUGUGAAAGUCUUCGUUUUCGUCUGCCCUUCAUACUUGUUCAAAGCUUCCUAGCUGGAGAAGUGGACGGUGCGCUUUGUGUGGCCAAAACGUCGCAGGGUCAUUCUGGCCAGGCAGGAAGCUCGUUCAUGCCGUCUCCACCGCCGCCAUCUUUGUCGAAGGAGCCCAGCGAGCCGAGCCGCACCCGCCAGCACCUCGGAGGAGAGCCGCUCGCUCCCGAGAAGGCCGGCGUCUGGCCGCAAGUGUCCUUUCGGCUCAGUCAGUACGGGGGCCGCCGCCCGUGCGGGGCCCAGUGAGUGACUUGUACAAUAAAAGGAGCCGUCCGCCGCUCAUCUAUCUGCGUUGCG
Hippocampus zosterae (dwarf seahorse) is the source of this 895-nucleotide long non-coding RNA. RefSeq lists it as uncharacterized. Lineage: Eukaryota; Metazoa; Chordata; Actinopteri; Syngnathiformes; Syngnathidae. The transcript has 3 exons. The record is from RefSeq and is a predicted model, not a curated record.